Molecule: ribosomal RNA, 492 nt
Filed under: uncultured bacterium
Lineage: Bacteria
Description: partial 16S ribosomal RNA
Rfam family: Bacterial small subunit ribosomal RNA
Source: RNAcentral
AGUGAACGCUGGCGGUAGGCCUAACACAUGCAAGUCGAACGGCAGCACAGUAAGAGUUUGCUCUUACGGGUGGCGAGUGGCGGAUGGGUGAGGCAUACAUCGGAAUCUACUUUUUCGUGGGGGAUAACGUAGGGCCACUUACGCUAAUACCGCAUACGAUCUACGGGUGAAAGCAGGGGAUCUUCGGACCUUGCGCGAUUGAAUGAGCCGAUGUCGGAUUAGCUAGUUGGGAGGGUAAAGGCCCACCAAGGCGACGAUCCGUAGCUGGUCUGAGAGGAUGAUCCGCCACACUGGAACUGAGACACGGUCCAGACUCCUACGGGAGGCAGCAGUGGGGAAUAUUGGACAAUGGGCGCAAGCCUGAUCCAGCCAUACCGCGUGAGUGAAGAAGGCCUUCGGGUUGUAAAGCCCUUUUGUUGGGAAAGAAAAGCAGCAGGUUAAUACCCCGCUGUUCUGACGGUACCCAAAGAAUAAGCACCGGCUAACUUCGUG